GACGACCGCUCGCGGCGUGCCUAACUCAUGCAAGUCGAACGGAAAGUCCAUGCUCUUGUGCGUUGCUCUAGUGGCGAACGGGUGUGUAACUCGCGACUAACCUUCCCUUGACUUUGGGAUAACUUCAGGAAACUCGGGCUCCUCCCGGAUAUGAGCUCCCGCUCCAUGGUGGGGUUUGGAAAGUUUCGGCGGUUGGGGAUGGACACGCGGCUUAUCAGCUUGCUGUGUGGGUAGUGGUAUACCAAGGCUUUGACAGGUAGCCGGCCUGAGGGUGUGACCGGCCACAUUGGGACUGGGAUACGCCCCAGACUCCGAACGGAGGCAGCAGUGGGGAAUAUUGCACGAUGAGCGGAGGCCUGAUGCAGCAACGCCGCGUGCGGGAUGACGGCCUUCGGGUUGUAAACCGCGUUCACCGGUGACGAAGCGUGUGUGACGGUAAUGGGUAGAUAAGCAACGGCUAACUACGUG
Molecule: ribosomal RNA, 468 nt
Filed under: uncultured bacterium
Lineage: Bacteria
Description: partial 16S ribosomal RNA
Rfam family: Bacterial small subunit ribosomal RNA
Source: RNAcentral